CCCUUCCCCCCCCAAAAAAUAUCCGCACAUCUCCCGCUCUAACCUUUCCCCACUCUAAGCAACUAUCCCUAAAACCCUCGUUCUUCUUGUUUUAGAAAACAGAAAUUGUCAAGAAAGUAAAUGAGUUGGUGAGGCACAAUAUUCACCCAAACUUGAUGAUCAGUUGAGUGGAUACAGGGCACUUGUGUUAUGGGCAUCAAUGUAGAAACAAACAAGUGUAAUAAUCAUGAGGUAUGUAUGAUACUUCACUCUUUCUGAAAACAAAAUCAAUUGGAUAUACUGCCUAGUGAAGGAUGAAAUGUUUACAAAAUUCUUGUUAAAAUCUUUAGGACUUUUGAAAUUUUAUUUAGAAUAAUAAUAUUUUACUCUAGUAAUGUUUGUUAUAUGAAACGGGUGUGAUGUUGAUCUGGUUUAGCUUAUGCUCUUUUCUUGAGCAGAUAAAUAUGAGAAUAUAAUUUUUUUGGCAGUUACGAA
Non-coding RNA from Nicotiana tabacum (common tobacco), 474 nucleotides. The record is from RefSeq and is a predicted model, not a curated record. NCBI's taxonomy places the organism in Eukaryota, Viridiplantae, Streptophyta, Magnoliopsida, Solanales, Solanaceae.